UCCACGCUGUAAACGAUGUCGAUUUGGAGGUUGUGCCCUUGAGGCGUGGCUUCCGGAGCUAACGCGUUAAAUCGACCGCCUGGGGAGUACGGCCGCAAGGUUAAAACUCAAAUGAAUUGACGGGGGCCCGCACAAGCGGUGGAGCAUGUGGUUUAAUUCGAUGCAACGCGAAGAACCUUACCUACUCUUGACAUCCAGAGAACUUAGCAGAGAUGCUUUGGUGCCUUCGGGAACUCUGAGACAGGUGCUGCAUGGCUGUCGUCAGCUCGUGUUGUGAAAUGUUGGGUUAAGUCCCGCAACGAGCGCAACCCUUAUCCUUUGUUGCCAGCGGUUCGGCCGGGAACUCAAAGGAGACUGCCAGUGAUAAACUGGAGGAAGGUGGGGAUGACGUCAAGUCAUCAUGGCCCUUACGAGUAGGGCUACACACGUGCUACAAUGGCGUAUACAAAGAGAAGCGACCUCGCGAGAGCAAGCGGACCUCAUAAAGUACGUCGUAGUCCGGAUUGGAGUCUGCAACUCGACUCCAUGAAGUCGGAAUCGCUAGUAAUCGUAGAUCAGAAUGCUACGGUGAAUACGUUCCCGGGCCUUGUACACACCGCCCGUCACACCAUGGGAGUGGGUUGCAAAAGAAGUAGGUAGCUUAACCUUCGGGAGGGCGCUUACCACUUUGUGAUUCAUGACUGGGGUGA
RNAcentral lists this ribosomal RNA (689 nucleotides) under Serratia marcescens. RNAcentral's name for it is "bacterial SSU rRNA". It matches the Rfam family "Bacterial small subunit ribosomal RNA", at positions 794 to 1483 of the family's 1533-position model. The record is from RNAcentral. Lineage: Bacteria; Pseudomonadati; Pseudomonadota; Gammaproteobacteria; Enterobacterales; Yersiniaceae.